Molecule: transfer RNA, 87 nt
Filed under: Caudoviricetes sp.
Lineage: Duplodnaviria; Heunggongvirae; Uroviricota; Caudoviricetes
Description: tRNA-OTHER
Source: RNAcentral
GCGUAGCUCAAAUGGACAGAGCGUCGAGAAAUGGCCGGGCUUGGUCAAGUAUCGAAAGUUGUCGGUUCGAAUCCGACCACAGGAGCA